AGAAAAGUAAGCUAAAUAAAGCUAAUGGGUUCAUACCCCAUCAAUAGAGUUAAACUCUCUUCUCUA
This 66-nucleotide transfer RNA is filed under the name Sorineuchora bivitta. RNAcentral describes it as "tRNA-Met". The record is from RNAcentral. Lineage: Eukaryota; Metazoa; Arthropoda; Insecta; Blattodea; Pseudophyllodromiidae.